UCUGAAUAAAGGCAAACUCACACGAAAGUUGAGGACGCAAAGCCACCGGUCUAAGCGGUUUAACCAUAACCUAUGACAGCGGAGCCGCCAGA
This is a non-coding RNA of Sulfurimonas sp., 92 nucleotides long. The record is from Rfam. Lineage: Bacteria; Pseudomonadati; Campylobacterota; Epsilonproteobacteria; Campylobacterales; Sulfurimonadaceae.